GACGAACGCUGGCGGCGUGCUUAACACAUGCAAGUGGGGCGACGAACCAGGCUUCGGCCUGGGGCAAAGCCGCGAACGGGUGAGUAACACGUGGGUAACCUGCCCCGAAGACUGGGACAACCCGGGGAAACCCGGGCUAAUACCGGAUGUGGUCAUCGUUCAUAAGGACGAUGAGCAAAGGAAGCUUCGGCCUCCGCUUCGGGAUGGGCCCGCGGCCCAUUAGCUUGUUGGUGAGGUAACGGCUCACCAAGGCUUCGAUGGGUAGCUGGUCUGAGAGGACGAUCAGCCACACUGGGACUGAGACACGGCCCAGACUCCUACGGGAGGCAG
This 330-nucleotide ribosomal RNA is filed under the name uncultured Actinomycetes bacterium. RNAcentral's name for it is "bacterial SSU rRNA". It matches the Rfam family "Bacterial small subunit ribosomal RNA", at positions 28 to 351 of the family's 1533-position model. Lineage: Bacteria; Bacillati; Actinomycetota; Actinomycetes. The record is from RNAcentral.